Non-coding RNA from Capsicum annuum, 107 nucleotides. NCBI's taxonomy places the organism in Eukaryota, Viridiplantae, Streptophyta, Magnoliopsida, Solanales, Solanaceae. The record is from Rfam.
UGAUGAUGAGGAGGACAUCUUUUGAGCAUGCCUUUAAAUCUAUCCCAAGCUUGGUAGAGAUUUUCUUUAUCUUUCUAUCUAAAACUCAAGAUCUCACUCCUCAAACG